Molecule: long non-coding RNA, 813 nt
Filed under: Mytilus galloprovincialis (Mediterranean mussel)
Lineage: Eukaryota; Metazoa; Mollusca; Bivalvia; Mytilida; Mytilidae
Source: RNAcentral
CAAGAAUCUAGACUAUUUUUAGCCAAAGAGUGUUGGCUCCAGACUUUUAGAGAUCAUAUAUUAUGUAGUAAAAUGGCUAUUUUUGUUCUCAUAGUUGUCAGUUUUAUGUAUUGUAAAGCACCAAGAAUGGCAAUGGUUAUGUCAGUUAUGCAAUUUUUCUCUUGUGUAGAAUCUCAAACUCCCCCAUCAUUUAUAUAUCGCAGACCCACUGAAGAACCACAGAAUGAUUUUUCAACAAAAGUUCAGCAAUUUAUUUCAGAAUUUUCAUGGGUACACGCAUCAGUUAUUUUGAGUAUAAUUGUCUUAUUGUUUUUGAUAUUUUUAAUUUGCUAUUUGUACAAAUCAAAACAUAACCGGUGUACGACUUUGGUUUUAGAAAUUACCUCAGGUGGCGAUUGUGUUAUUGUACCUAUUUUAAACUUGUCUUUGUGCCCAUCUUAUUAUAAAAUUUCCAAACCAUCUGUUAAAGAAUUGACUGUUGCCGCAUUUCCCUCAUGUAAAUUAUUUGCCACAUGGUCAUCCUUUCAAGUAACUAAUUUGUUAACUGAGCAAAGUAUUCAGAUUCCCACAACAAUUUCACUUAGCUUAAGGAAUCGUUAUAAGCUUCCGUAUAUUUUAAAUCAACCAUUCAAUGCCUACGUCUAUGUGACACACCAAGGAUUCGCUAAUAUUCUAAAUCCGCCAGCAGAUUCUUCAAAUAAAACUAAGAAUGCAUCUGCAGCUGAUUUGACCUCAUUUGUAUAAACAUUUUUAUAAAACCAUUAUUAUUUUGGAUAAUUAUCUUAUUUUUUUUGGUUUUGAGCGGUAGUCACC